CGUUACCGGGACCUGCGGCGGCCCGGGGACAAGGACCGCCCUGGGGACGGAGACAGGGAUGGAGACACCAGCCCCCAGAGGCAGGAACCCCCCCCCCCCGGCUGCUCCAGCAGCCUUUUGUCAGGAGUCGCCUGCUCCAGGAAUUAGAGGCCAUCGAUUCUUCCCAAAGGGAAGGAGCCUGGAGCUGCCACACACCAGGGAAGCAGGAAGAACCAGAGGAAGUCCCUGCCACCUCCUUUCUCCUUGCUUUCCCUGCAGGAUUUUUGCCAAAUGUGGAAAAGAACACAUCUAAUCCAGCCAAGGUAUGUUUUGUGAGCAGUUUGGUACAAGGGACAGCAUUCCUUUUGCAGGCACCUUAGCUCCAGGACAAAGGAAUUCCUGAUGGGAAGAGAGAGAAGGCAAAGGGAACACCCAGCCACCCAUGAUGAGGCAAAGGAGAGACUAAAUCAGAGGAAGAGGAAUGGCUGGGCCCUGGUUGUUACAGGGAGAGAGAGGCAAAUAAGCAGAGACACCCCCUAAGGCAAGGCAGGGGUUCCUCUGGUACCUUCUAAAUUCAUAAAACAAAUCAGCAAAUCCCUCCUGGACUCCCACUGUGGGGGAAUUCCACCUCACCUCAACCUCUGCUUCAUUGGCACAGCAUCUCCCCGGAGUGCUCCAAAACCAGGGCGCCACAACAACCAAAAUUAACUGGACCAAGGAAGAUAAAGAGGGCCAAGCCAGGAUUUAAUCCAAGUUCUGCUCCUCUGCAGCUCUUCCCUGCAGCGACCUGAGAGUAUCCAGGCCCAGAUCCAUCACUAAUUCCAUCCCAAAGCAGCACAGGUUUCCUUUCAGCCCAGGGACACCAAGGAUAAGUUCUGCAAGUCCCGGGGAACCUGAGAGCGGCCACGCGGAAUGUUAAGUCACACACUGGCCCUCCCCAACCCCGUAAAUCAGCAUCCUAAACCCUACAGCUCCCAAAGUUCAGCUGGCUGACAAAACCUCAGAGUAUGAACAAGCCCCUGGAUUUGUGAGCCCCACCUCACCCGUUCCCAGGCUCUGUGAGGGAGGUGACGGGGAAGUGGCCCUUGAGAACAGCCCGCGGCACACGAACGAGGCAGGAGGUCCCAGCCCCAAAUCCCUGUUAGACACGGGGAUCCCUUUGGAGACAAAUGUCCUUGCUUUGGAAGAGCCGUCUGGGCCCAGCCAGAGCGACACGAGGAGCUGGUGGGAGGAAGAGUCACUUGGAAGGAGGAGGUCUGGUUGGAGGCUCCUCCCGGGAAGGUGUGGACAGGCCUGUGGGUGCCGCGGGUCCGGCCUGUGGUGCCUGCCCGGCUCGGGGCCCUGUGACACCUGCCCAGCCCGGCUCAGGUGCCCGCCCUGGACACCAGGUAGUAGAGGAUGAAGAAGAUGAGGAUGAGGGCCACGGACACGGCGCAGAGCAGCCGGCGGUUGUCCCGCCCGGAGCGCGCCAUGGUGGAGAAGCGCUUCACGCUGCCCGUCAGCAGCCCCGUCACACUGAGGAAAUCCGAGUCCUGUGGAGGGCAGAGACAGCCAAGGUGGAGGCAUCGUAGAGUCUUGGAAUAUCCCGAGUUGGAGGGAUUCCACGAGGGUCAUCCAGUCCGACUCCUGGCCCUGCACAGGACACCUCAACAACCCGACCGUGUCCCUGAGCUCUGGCAGGUUUGUGGCUACAACCACUGCCCUGGGGAGCCUGUUCCAGUGCCCAGCCACCCUCUGGGGGAAGAAGUUUACCCUAAUACCCAACCUAAUACAACUCCAGCCAUUCCCUCGGGUCCUAGGAUCAAGCCCAUCCUACUGUGCCACAGAUGAAGGAAUCCUUGAGGAAUCUCCCACCUCCUGGCUAAAAACAUUCGCACAGAAGCUGCACAGCAGUCACCUGUUUCCCUCAAGGUCCUUCCCUUCCAGUGCUCCAGGAUCAGCACCGUUCCCACCUUUCUGGAGCUUCUGCUCAUGUUGCUCCUGAAAUGCCUCAAAACCUCUUGUGUAAGAGCAGCGCGGUUUGGUGCCCAUUUAGGGCUUCUCCCUUAAGGGCUCUCGCCAUCCCACCUUUCAUCUCAAUUCCCUGAUUUGUUGGGAGUUGUGUGGCAGACCAGGACACUCAACAGCCUGUGGGACCCAGAGCAUCACCUGUACUCCCUCUGAAGACACCAGUGUCCCACAUGCCCCACAGGGAGCCUGCUGGAGGUGCUGGAGUUCAGGAAUUGGUUCAUACAGCAGCACCAAACACCAAGGGAGAGCUGAGGAACAGCCCGGAGGCAGCUUUAAUCCCAGCAAGGAGGGACCUCCACUGGCAUUUCCCAGGUGUGCUGUCCCACAUCAGCCCUUCAGGUGCCAGAUACCAACCCUGCCCCAUUCCCCAGGUCCUCACCAUGCCAUCCAGGUAGCGGUUCUGUUCCUCAGCGUCCUUGUCGAUAUCCAGAGCCAGCUGCAGAACAAGGGAGGGAACGGGCAUUCAGGAGCUUGUCGCGUACGGAGAACCUCUAAAAUGAAAGUUAUCAAAGCAACCUGCUGCUUUCCUGGCUCCUGCAGACACACAGGGGCUUGUCUGGGACAGGAACAAGGAAAAUGAUUCUCAUUUCCCUGUAGGGUUGUUGAACUUUUCCACCUCUGCAGCACUGAAAGUAAAGUCUGACUGUCUAAAUCUGUCAGGGUGUUUAAUCCCUGGGAUACAAGGGCAGGAAUUCAGAGUCUGCCCUUCUACACUGUGAGUCACUGACUUCUUUCGUGGUUUUUACUGUUUUUUAAAUAAUAAUUUAUAAUAAUGUUACAAUUGUCACAACAAUUUUAUAAUAACAUAACAAUAAUUGUUAGAAUAAUUAUAAUGCUAUAACAAUUUUUAUAACAAUAAAAACCAGAGCUUAAAUCUCUAAAUCAAAGUACUUGAUAUUAAGAGCAAACCAGUUUUAAGAUCAUUUGCACAGAGACACAGGUAUUUUCCAAAACUAAUCUCCCUGCCUUUUUAUUGUGAUUUUUUUCCCAAGCAGGUGAGCUUGGCAACACCCCUCUGUGCAGGGGUGUUUAUGUUUUAUGUAUGUUUUAUGUUUCUUUUUUGAUGUUUCUCUCUGAGCCUAAAACUCCUUUUCCUGAGUGUCAGGUGAUGUCGUAAACCCCAAAGGGAAAGCAGGAAUUUGUAAAGGUGUCCUUGGCACUGCACAAGUGAAAAUUAAACCGCUGUAUCACCAACUAAGGUGAUGCACAGGAA
Pseudopipra pipra is the source of this 3202-nucleotide long non-coding RNA. RefSeq lists it as uncharacterized. The record is from RefSeq and is a predicted model, not a curated record. The transcript is spliced from 2 exons. Lineage: Eukaryota; Metazoa; Chordata; Aves; Passeriformes; Pipridae.